AUUUAUGAAGCAGCCAGAAUCGAACCAGCGUCUGUACCAUGGCAGGGUACUAUACAUUUACGGUGGCUCAAUUACUUUGGGUUGCAUGCAUAUCCAUAGUAGCAUCCAAAAUACUUAUAAAAGGCAGCAGCCGCUAGGGCCAUAGGAUUCAUCAUCUAUACGUAUUUUUUGUCGCUGAGAUGGCCCAAUGUAUGGAUGCUGUUACCUGUAUAGAUAAAGAAAAACAACUCAGAACUAAUUGGAAGAGGGUGAGUUUUACUAUCAUAUAUGGAUCUUUACUUGUCUGUGUUAUUGCAAUUUUGACGAAAAACCCUAUUUUAGUUGCAAAGUUUAAGCCUAAACCUGGAGAAAAGCUUGUCAAGGCAAACUAUGGUGUUGAUUUAUCAGAUGUUUCAACUUAAGAUUGUGAAUUUGCCUCGAUCCAAGGAAGAAGGAAAUACCAGGAGGAUCGAGUAACAUGCAACCUUGAUCUUAGUAUUCCUUUCUUUAGACCCAAUGAUGGCGGCCUUGAUGUGGU
This 517-nucleotide long non-coding RNA is filed under the name Nicotiana benthamiana. Its description in RNAcentral is "long non-coding RNA (NBEN_LNC015109)". The record is from RNAcentral. Lineage: Eukaryota; Viridiplantae; Streptophyta; Magnoliopsida; Solanales; Solanaceae.